GACCGCGUAGCUCCGUUGGCAGAGCAUUGUCAUUGGGCUAGUAUUCCAAAGGUCGUAGGUUCGAUUCCCACCGUGGCCA
Non-coding RNA from Paramuricea clavata, 79 nucleotides. Lineage: Eukaryota; Metazoa; Cnidaria; Anthozoa; Malacalcyonacea; Plexauridae. The record is from the annotation of a GenBank genome assembly.